UACGUAGGUCCCGAGCGUUGUCCGGAUUUAUUGGGCGUAAAGCGAGCGCAGGUGGUCUAUUAAGUCUGGUGUAAAAGGCAGUGGCUCAACCAUUGUAUGCAUUGGAAACUGGUAGACUUGAGUGCAGGAGAGGAGAGUGGAAUUCCAUGUGUAGCGGUGAAAUGCGUAGAUAUAUGGAGGAACACCGGUGGCGAAAGCGGCUCUCUGGCCUGUAACUGACACUGAGGCUCGAAAGCGUGGGGAGCAAACAGG
This 252-nucleotide ribosomal RNA is filed under the name uncultured bacterium. Its description in RNAcentral is "partial 16S ribosomal RNA". It matches the Rfam family "Bacterial small subunit ribosomal RNA", at positions 524 to 776 of the family's 1533-position model. The record is from RNAcentral.